GUAUUUUAUGGUGUACAAGCUCUACAGUACAACCUAAGUACUACCCCAUCUUCGUUACCAUUAUGUAAUUUGUGCAUUACUGCUAGCCAACAUGUCUAAUAUAUA
This 105-nucleotide non-coding RNA is filed under the name Chlorocebus sabaeus (green monkey). RNAcentral describes it as "Mitochondrial DNA control region secondary structure A". It matches the Rfam family "Mitochondrial DNA control region secondary structure A". The record is from Rfam by way of RNAcentral. Lineage: Eukaryota; Metazoa; Chordata; Mammalia; Primates; Cercopithecidae.